Molecule: ribosomal RNA, 450 nt
Filed under: Bacillus sp. (in: firmicutes)
Lineage: Bacteria; Bacillati; Bacillota; Bacilli; Caryophanales; Bacillaceae
Description: bacterial SSU rRNA
Rfam family: Bacterial small subunit ribosomal RNA
Source: RNAcentral
GAUACUGGCGGACGGGUGAGUAACACGUGGGUAACCUGCCUGUAAGACUGGGAUAACUCCGGGAAACCGGGGCUAAUACCGGAUGCUUGUUUGAACCGCAUGGUUCAAACAUAAAAGGUGGCUUCGGCUACCACUUACAGAUGGACCCGCGGCGCAUUAGCUAGUUGGUGAGGUAAUGGCUCACCAAGGCAACGAUGCGUAGCCGACCUGAGAGGGUGAUCGGCCACACUGGGACUGAGACACGGCCCAGACUCCUACGGGAGGCAGCAGUAGGGAAUCUUCCGCAAUGGACGAAAGUCUGACGGAGCAACGCCGCGUGAGUGAUGAAGGUUUUCGGAUCGUAAAGCUCUGUUGUUAGGGAAGAACAAGUACCGUUCGAACAGGGCGUACCUUGAGGUACCUGACGAGAAAAGCCACGGCUAACUACGUGCCAGCAGCCGCGGUAAUACG